GUAUGGUGCAAGCGUUAUCCGGAUUUACUGGGUGUAAAGGGAGCGUAGACGGUUGUGUAAGUCUGAUGUGAAAGCCCGGGGCUCAACCCCGGGACUGCAUUGGAAACUAUGUAACUAGAGUGUCGGAGAGGUAAGCGGAAUUCCUAGUGUAGCGGUGAAAUGCGUAGAUAUUAGGAGGAACACCAGUGGCGAAGGCGGCUUACUAGACGAUCACUGACGUUGAGGCUCGAAAGCGUGGGGAGCAAACAGGAUUAGAUACCCUGGUAGUCCACGCCGUAAACGAUGACUACUAGGUGUCGGGGAGCAAAG
RNAcentral lists this ribosomal RNA (309 nucleotides) under uncultured bacterium. RNAcentral's name for it is "bacterial SSU rRNA". It matches the Rfam family "Bacterial small subunit ribosomal RNA", at positions 527 to 835 of the family's 1533-position model. The record is from RNAcentral.